RNAcentral lists this ribosomal RNA (588 nucleotides) under Triticum aestivum (bread wheat). RNAcentral's name for it is "partial small subunit ribosomal RNA". The record is from RNAcentral. Lineage: Eukaryota; Viridiplantae; Streptophyta; Magnoliopsida; Poales; Poaceae.
AUGAAAAUCUUAUAUUCCCUGAGGAGGUUCUACCACGUGGAAACGCUCUUUAAUGGAACUUUCGUUUUAGCUGGUCGUGACCAAGAAACCACCGGCUUUGCUUGGUGGGCUGGGAAUGCCAGACUUAUCAAUUUGUCCGGUAAACUACUUGGAGCUCAUGUAGCCCAUGCCGGAUUAAUCGUAUUCUGGGCCAGAGCAAUGAACCUAUUUGAAGUGGCCCAUUUCGUACCAGAAAAGCCCAUGUAUGAACAAGGGUUGAUUUUACUUCCACACUUAGCUACUCUAGGUUGGGGAGUAGGGCCAGGGGGGGAAGUUCUAGAUACUUUUCCGUACUUUGUAUCUGGCGUACUUCACCUAAUUUCCUCUGCAGUUUUAGGCUUCGGUGGCAUUUAUCACGCGCUUCUGGGACCCGAGACUCUUGAGGAAUCUUUUCCAUUCUUUGGUUAUGUCUGGAAAGAUAGAAAUAAAAUGACUACAAUUUUGGGUAUUCACUUAAUUUUGUUAGGUCUAGGUGCUUUUCUUCUAGUACUCAAGGCUCUUUAUUUUGGCGGUGUAUAUGAUACCUGGGCCCCUGGGGGGGAGAUGUAA